RNAcentral lists this ribosomal RNA (1380 nucleotides) under uncultured bacterium. Its description in RNAcentral is "partial 16S ribosomal RNA". It matches the Rfam family "Bacterial small subunit ribosomal RNA". The record is from RNAcentral.
AGAGUUUGAUCCUGGCUCAGGAUGAACGCUGGCGGCGUGCUUAACACAUGCAAGUCGAACGGGAAAUAUUUCAUUGAGACUUCGGUGGAUUUGAUCUAUUUCUAGUGGCGGACGGGUGAGUAACGCGUGGGUAACCUGCCUUAUACAGGGGGAUAACAGUCAGAAAUGACUGCUAAUACCGCAUAAGCGCACGGUUCCGCAUGGAACAGUGUGAAAAACUCCGGUGGUACAGGAUGGAUUCGCGUCUGAUUAGCCAGUUGGUGGGGUAACGGCCUACCAAAGCAACGAUCAGUAGCCGGCCUGAGAGGGUGAACGGCCACAUUGGGACUGAGACACGGCCCAAACUCCUACGGGAGGCAGCAGUGGGGAAUAUUGCACAAUGGGGGAAACCCUGAUGCAGCGACGCCGCGUGAGUGAAGAAGUUAUUCGUAACGUAAAGCUCUAUCAGCAGGGAAGAAAAUGACGGUACCUGACUAAGAAGCCCCGGCUAACUACGUGCCAGCAGCCGCGGUAAUACGUAGGGGGCAAGCGUUAUCCGGAUUUACUGGGUGUAAAGGGAGCGUAGACGGCACAGCAAGUCUGAUGUGAAAGCCCGGGGCCCAACCCCGGAACUGCAUUGGAAACUGCUGGGCUUGAGUGCAGGAGAGGUAAGCGGAAUUCCUAGUGUAGCGGUGAAAUGCGUAGAUAUUAGGAGGAACACCAGUGGCGAAGGCGGCUUGCUGGACUGUAACCGACGCUCAGUCCCGAAAGCGUGGGGAGCAAAUAGGAUUAGAUACCCUAGUAGUCCACGCCGUAAACGAUGAGUGCUAAGUGUUGGGGGUCAGACCUCAGUGCUGCAGUUAACGCAAUAAGCACUCCGCCUGAGUAGUACGUUCGCAAGAAUGAAACUCAAAGGAAUUGACGGGGGCCCGCACAAGCGGUGGAGCAUGUGGUUUAAUUCGAAGCAACGCGAAGAACCUUACCAGGUCUUGACAUGGAGAUAAAGGCUCUGGAGACAGAGAGAUAGGUAUAUCUCACACAGGUGGUGCAUGGUUGUCGUCAGCUCGUGUCGUGAGAUGUUGGGUUAAGUCCCGCAACGAGCGCAACCCCUGUUGCCAGUUGCCAGCAUUAGGUCGGGGACUCUGGCGAGACUGCCUCUGCAAGGAGGAGGAAGGCGGGGAUGACGUCAAAUCAUCAUGCCCCUUAUGACCUGGGCUACACACGUGCUACAAUGGACGGAUCAGAGGGAGGCGAAGCCGCGAGGUGGAGCGAAACCCAGAAACCCGUUCACAGUUCGGACUGCAGUCUGCAACUCGACUGCACGAAGCUGGAAUCGCUAGUAAUCGCGAAUCAGCAUGUCGCGGUGAAUACGUUCUCGGGCCUUGCACUCACCGCCCGUCA